Molecule: long non-coding RNA, 1469 nt
Organism: Orcinus orca (killer whale)
Lineage: Eukaryota; Metazoa; Chordata; Mammalia; Artiodactyla; Delphinidae
Exons: 2
Source: RefSeq, a predicted model, not a curated record
GGGGGGGGGGGGAGAGGCGGGGGGGAGGAUUAGAGGAACCCAUACUCUGGGUGCUCUUAGGGACAGUGGCCAGAGAGCAGAUCCCCAACCCACGCUGUCCUUCAUCCAGGUCAGCCCACCCCUCCAUUCCUCUCCUUUCCCAGAAUCUGUCCUCCACUCCACACCCACCCAGUACCACCCUUUGGGUUUUCUGGAUUAUUCAGGCUGUGCUCUACCCAGGGGGAUUGAAUGGUGACUGGUCUGAGUGUUUCAGUCUGCCUGCUCCCCGAGCUUUCACACGCUGGUCUGUCUACCCCACCUCCCCACCCCUGGCCGCCCUUCUCCAGGCAGUGCCCCGCCCAUCUGAGACUCCUAGCUGAGCCUUCCUUCCUAGAGGGAGGAAGAAGGACCGUUUCCUUCUGCAACCCACACCCACCCAGCUCUGGGUUACGCAACACCGGCCAUCUCAUUCUUUCCUAAAACAACGGCUCUGGGCAGUGACUAAGUUUAAAUUCUGGUCCUCCAAGCAAGAAUGUAAGCAAGGCCUUCCUGAACUUUUAGCUCCAUCUUGCUGCUUCUGAAUAAGAUGGAAAGGUCUGUGGAAAGUUGAGAUGGGGAAGAGUUGGCCAUACUCCCUGCAGGAUCCCAGUGUGGCUUUUUAAAGAAGUUUGUAUUCUUUGGUAGGUUAUAUUGCAGAGAAGCCCAAUACUCUGCUAGCCUCUCACAUCUACCGCUGCCUUCCCGAAUUCCCCCUUCCCCCUCCCACAUCACCACCGCCACCCUUACAGAUUUCCCCUGUUUACUGCUACCCCCUGCCCAGCUUGGUCCCUCCACGCAGUCUAAGUACAGCCAUGGCACAGCCCAGUCCCACCCGCCACCCCAGCACUGCUCUUGCCUCGACCCCACGCCUCCAGUAUGGAUGUCCAGAGCGGCGAGCUGUGCUGUCAGUGCUGGGGUCUAACCAGGCUCUUUCUUGCAGACUGAGACUCUUGAACUCUACUUUCCCUCCCUUUGGGAUGCCCUUCACCUCAGCACCCAGAGCAGAGGUAGGAAGCGCAUGGUGCGUGCUCAGGAUGGAGUGUGGGCCAAGGUGCACACACUCUGGGACUCUGUCUGGCCUCUGUGGAGAGAAGAGUUUGAGGAAAGCUUCUGUCAGGGCUGUGAAAAGGCUAAACAGCUGGGGCUGUUACUUAGGCUUUUUAUUUUUAUUUAUUUUUUAUUUAUUUAUUUUUGUUGUUGUUUUUUUGCAGUACGCGGGCCUCUCACUGCUGUGGCCUCUCUGUUGCGGAGCACAGGCUCCGGACGCGCAGCCUCAGCGGCCAUGGCUCACGGGCCCAGCCGCUCCGCGGCAUGUGGGAUCUCCCCGGUUCGGAUCUUCACGAACCCGCGUCCCCUGCAUCAGCAGAUGGACUCUCAACCACUGCGCCACCAGGGAAGCCCUUUAGGCUUUUUAUAAAUAAACUUUGACAGGACUUCCUUCUCCUCUUGCA